GCAUAUCAUAGCGGAGGAAAAGAAACCAACAGGGAUUGCCCCAGUAACGGCGAGUGAAGCGGCAACAGCUCAAAUUUGAAAUCUGGCCCCCAGGGCCCGAGUUGUAAUUUGCAGAGGAUGCUUUUGGCGCGGUGCCUUCCGAGUUCCCUGGAACGGGACGCCAUAGAGGGUGAGAGCCCCGUCUGGUCGGACACCAAGCCAGUGUAAAGCUCCUUCGACGAGUCGAGUAGUUUGGGAAUGCUGCUCUAAAUGGGAGGUAUAUGUCUUCUAAAGCUAAAUACCGGCCAGAGACCGAUAGCGCACAAGUAGAGUGAUCGAAAGAUGAAAAGCACUUUGAAAAGAGGGUUAAACAGUACGUGAAAUUGUUGAAAGGGAAGCGUUUAUGACCAGACUUGGGCCCGGUGAAUCAUCCAGCGUUCUCGCUGGUGCACUUCGCCGGGCCCAGGCCAGCAUCAGUUCGCCGCGGGGGAUAAAAGCUUCGGGAACGUGGCUCCCUCGGGAGUGUUAUAGCCCGUUGCAUAAUACCCUGUGGCGGACUGAGGUUCGCGCUCCGCAAGGAUGCUGGCGUAAUGGUCAUCAGCGACCCGUCUUGAAACACGGACCAAGGAGUCGUCUUCGUAUGCGAGUGUUCGGGUGUAAAACCCCUACGCGUAAUGAAAGUGAACGCAGGUGAGAGCUUCGGCGCAUCAUCGACCGAUCCUGAUGUUCUCGGAUGGAUUUGAGUAAGAGCAUACGGGGCCGGACCCGAAAGAAGGUGAACUAUGCCUGUAUAGGGUGAAGCCAGAGGAAACUCUGGUGGAGGCUCGCAGCGGUUCUGACGUGCAAAUCGAUCGUCAAAUAUGGGCAUGGGGGGCGAAAGACUAAUCGAACCUUCUAGUAGCUGGGUUUCCGCCGAG
This 896-nucleotide ribosomal RNA is filed under the name Tolypocladium album. Its description in RNAcentral is "LSU rRNA". It matches the Rfam family "Eukaryotic large subunit ribosomal RNA", at positions 38 to 965 of the family's 3401-position model. The record is from RNAcentral. Lineage: Eukaryota; Fungi; Ascomycota; Sordariomycetes; Hypocreales; Ophiocordycipitaceae.